GCCAGGUCCUGGAAGGUCAGUAACACAGCCAGUAACACGGCCAGGUCCUGGAAGGUCAGUAACACUGCCAGUAACACAGCCAGGUCCUGGAAGGUCAGUAACACUGCCAGUAACACAGCCAGGUCCUGGAAGGUAAGUAACACAGCCAGUAACACAGCCAGGUCCUGGAAGGUAAGUAACACAGCCAGUAACACAGCCAGGUUCUGGAAGGUAAGUAACACAGCCAGUAACACAGCCAGGUCCUGGAAGGUAAGUAACACAGCCAGGUCCUGGAAGAUAAGUAACACAGCCAGUAACACAGCCAGGUCCUGGAAGGUAAGUAACACAGCC
This is a non-coding RNA of Pelobates cultripes (western spadefoot toad), 330 nucleotides long. Lineage: Eukaryota; Metazoa; Chordata; Amphibia; Anura; Pelobatidae. The record is from the annotation of a GenBank genome assembly.